Long non-coding RNA from Hemiscyllium ocellatum (epaulette shark), 1518 nucleotides. RefSeq lists it as uncharacterized. NCBI's taxonomy places the organism in Eukaryota, Metazoa, Chordata, Chondrichthyes, Orectolobiformes, Hemiscylliidae. The transcript is spliced from 4 exons. The record is from RefSeq and is a predicted model, not a curated record.
CAAAACAUGCAAUAACUGGACUUCAACCAAGAGUGGAGAGAACCUGGGAAAUGGCUAAAAUCUGUCUCGGGCGAUAGACUGUCGAGUUUGCUUUCUACAAUGUGAUAGUACAAAAGGUGCUGACUUCCCAGCUGCAGUGUGCCAAAAAUAUCCAGAAUCAAACACAUUGCUAUGGAUCUGGAGUCAUAUGUCAGCCAGACUGGUGAUUCUGAGGCUUCAGAGGAUGGGAGCUCUUGAUCUUGAGUACUGCAACAAACCACCUCGAUCACCACCUUCAGAAGUCUUGUUUGGAAUGGAUAGAACUUUUUCCCUUUGCAAGGCCAUGGAUUGGCGGUGAAGUUAAAGUCGGACCAAUUCAGAAUAGCCAUGGACAUUAUCGCCCCCUGUUACAACGUUGCAAUAUGAGAAGCCCAACUUCAAUCAAAGGUAUGAAAACUGCACAGUAAAUGCAUUUUUGAGACUCAAACCAUUAUCAGUUUACUUAUUUGAAGAUUUAUUUGAAGAUCCCAAAUCUUACAGCUGUGUUUAUAUGUUGUCACCAUGGUGACACUUUGCAAUCAUUAUUGUCACUAAGUUUGGGUCUGACCUGGAGUAUUCCAACUUAUGUUUACAUAUAUUCUUCAUUGAUGGUCUUAUCAACAAUAAAGGCUUUGAUUUCCAGUCCUUUUGUGAAUCCAAUUUUCAAUAAGUAUGAAUUCUUAGGGUAGCACUAAACAUGGACAAAUAAUUAACACUUUCUCCUGAAUUAUUUCCACAUUUUAUGUCUGUUGGCAUCAUCAUGGAGAGGGAAGCUGUCCUUCACUGAAGCACUGAAAUACUCUUGGAAAUACGUGCAGAAAAAUAGGUGAAAGACUGGGACUUGUGGACACACCCAUGCUUUCAUUCGCUCUGUGCAGUCGACACCUGGGCAAACAUUGCGACUGAAUGUUUGGUCUGUCAGCAUCAACAGUUGGAAUGAAUCAUAAUUUAAUGGUGCAAUAUUUUACAGGAGCUCAACAGCCAAGUGCUCAGUGUCAUUUCUGUUUCCGAGGGCUGCAACUGAGGCCGUAGAAGAGAGGUAAAAUGUUAUCUCUGUGACCUCUCAUCAUACUCACCUUCCCAAAGUAACCUGUUUGUUACUUUCAGUCCUUGGACAAUGUGACUUAAUGCUUUUUUUUUCCUUUGUUUCAACCUAAGCUUACUGUCAGUUGGCAAAUGAAGCAAAAGUUUUUUUAUCAAUAGCGCUACAGGUAUAAGCAUGAGAUUCAAAUCCCAGUAACAAUCCAUCAUGGACAAAAUUGAGCAAUUUCAGAUGAAAUUACAGUUUGUUCAAUUAGAGGUUGCUUCAGGGUUAGUUUUGGUGCAGUUUACACAUCCAGAGGUGCUUCUUGUUUUUUUUAGGAGUGAACACUUCUUUUAUCAAACUUGCCUCCAUUUUCAUUUCGCGAUUCAUUGUGGAUGUGUGUCGGUUUGUAUGUUGUAUAUGUUGCGUUGGUGCACAUGUUAAUGUGCUUUAAUCUGUGAACCUCCGCAACCACC